RNAcentral lists this ribosomal RNA (478 nucleotides) under uncultured bacterium. RNAcentral describes it as "SSU rRNA". It matches the Rfam family "Bacterial small subunit ribosomal RNA", at positions 26 to 523 of the family's 1533-position model. The record is from RNAcentral.
AGAACGAACGCUGGCGGCAUGCCUAACACAUGCAAGUCGAACGCUUCACCGGUUUCGGCCGGUGGGGAGUGGCGCACGGGUGAGUAGCGCGUGGGAACCUGCCCUGUUGUGGGGGAUAACCGAGGGAAACUUCGGCUAAUACCGCAUAAGCCGGUUGUCUUGAAAGAGAUGGCCGGGAAAGAUUUAUCGCGACAGGAGGGGCCCGCGUCGGAUUAGCUAGUUGGUGGGGUAACGGCCCACCAAGGCUGUGAUCCGUAGCUGGUCUGAGAGGAUGAUCAGCCACACUGGGACUGAGACACGGCCCAGACUCCUACGGGAGGCAGCAGUGGGGAAUAUUGGACAAUGGGCGCAAGCCUGAUCCAGCAAUGCCGCGUGAGUGAUGAAGGCCUUAGGGUUGUAAAGCUCUUUCGCCCGCGACGAUGAUGACGGUAGCGGGAGAAGAAGCCCCGGCUAACGUUCGCGCCAGCAGCCGCGGUAA